AAAAAGAGAAAAUAAAUUUAAAUUGCUUCCAGCCGAACGGUCUAGUUGGUCCUCAUAAAUGAUUCUAACUUUUCCUCUACCCAAGACCACUGAAAAGUAAAAGCAGAUCUCCUCAAAUCUUUUCCUUAUCGAUUUGCUUUUCAAUCGGCACCAUUUCCUCCAUUUUAAACGUCGCACCAUACUGCCGAAAGCUAAGGUCUUUUCCAUUUUCUUUUACUCUGAAGAACCCAGACGAUUUGGCUUUGAUUCUCCUCCAGAUGAUCUUAAGGUCCCUCCCUCCAGGUACUGUUCCUCUCGCUUCUUGAGUGUUUCUUUUGCUAGUCGGUAGGCUUCUGUGUUUUCUAACCUUGGGAUGAAAUAAAAUCUGAUUUCUUGAUAGUAAUCCUUUAGGCUUUGGAUGUCACUGAUUAUUGCCCCUAUUUCUGAUUUGUCUUGAUUUGCAUUUUGGCAUUUUGUAAUCACUGUUUUUGAGUCUCCGAUUAUAUCUAAAUUAUGAUAGCCCAACUGAAUCCCUAACCUUGUUGCUUGAAAACCUGUAUAUGCUUCCGCCGCGAAUGAAGAUGCAAUAUUUUCAUGAAGGGUCGAAUUUGCUGCAACGAUCCUACCCUCCUCAUUUCUAACAACUAGGCCUGACGCAGAUCUGGAGUUCUGUAAGUCGAAAGCCGCAUCGAAAAAGAUGGCCUUUUUCGCCCUUUGUAGACUUUGUCUAGGCCUCACACUGGUUUCCACGUUGAGUACCCUAUCUUUAAUCCCUUCUAAUUCCAAAAUGUAGCUUUUUAUUUGUUUGGAUAUAUCCCAACUAGUACUUUAUCUGCUUUCGUAUAAUAACUUAUUUCUGUUUGUCUAGAUAAGCCAGAGUCCGCAACAGAAACCCCUGCACUGUUCGUUUGUCCCUUGGCUGAAAACCCAGGUAAGCCAACUCCAAAUAUCUAAAUGACUGUUGUUGAGUACCCAUGAAAAAUUUAAGUGACUCCAUAUUUCCUUUGCUAUAGGGCAUAGAUGGAAAACGUGGAAACUAUCUUCUCCUUCUUGACCGCAUCUCAAACAUCGAUCCUCAGCCAUCACUCUUCGCAGCUUCAGAUUGGAGAAAGUGGGACUGUAAUUCCAUGCUAUUUUCCAUACUGUAAUCUUGAUUUUUGAGGGCAUAUGUAAAUUCCAUAAUUUCCUGUAGAAACUUUUAGUAUCAGUCUAUAAAGAAACACUAGGAUCUAUUUUAGCCUCCUGUAAUAGUUUAUAGGCACUCCUUAGAAAAGUCUCCAGUUGCCUAUAAUAAAUGGUUUAAGAUUUAAGGUUUAUUUGAGAUUUGUUAAAUGAUAAAAUUUUAUACAAUUAAUUAAUACUUUUAUAUUUAAAAAUAU
Molecule: long non-coding RNA, 1358 nt
Filed under: Gossypium barbadense (sea-island cotton)
Lineage: Eukaryota; Viridiplantae; Streptophyta; Magnoliopsida; Malvales; Malvaceae
Description: long non-coding RNA (GBAR_LNC018678)
Source: RNAcentral